RNAcentral lists this ribosomal RNA (4574 nucleotides) under Triticum aestivum (bread wheat). Its description in RNAcentral is "partial small subunit ribosomal RNA". Lineage: Eukaryota; Viridiplantae; Streptophyta; Magnoliopsida; Poales; Poaceae. The record is from RNAcentral.
AUCCACGUCGCCUCUUCUCCCUGCUCCAGCCACACACACACACCCACGCGAUCGUGCUCCAGUCCACGGCGCCGCGUUUCCCUUCUCUCUUCCCUCCUCUCUACAAUCCUCCAAGCUUUCGUCGGCCACUUGCGGGGCGGCUGCGUAUGGGCUCCAGGUGGCCGGGGCUACGCGCGGGGGCAGGCUGGGGCUGUGGCGGAGGCGCGGCAGCGGUGGCCGGCGGCUGCUUGAAGGGGCCGCGUGGAUCUGCCGCCGGGGCUUCGAAUCGGCGUGGUCGUCUGAGCCCUAAGUUUUCGACGCCGAGAGCUUGGCGAUCCAGAGGGUGCUGGUCUCCGUCGGUGGACAUUCGAUGACAAAUGAAAAAAACAGAGGCAACCAAUUCAGCGAGGCCGGCCACCCAGCAAAACGCACCAAAGAACCAAUUCUUUCUUUACCAGAGAAGAAGAAGGCGAGGCCCAAUCUCAGCUGCUGUCCGUCCUUACCUGCCUACAUCCGGCGGGCCGAUGGGGGGCCGGACCUGAGGCGACAUGGCCCUCCCAAGAGAGAAGCAGGCGUUGGCGCUGUGCAGGCCGUCCAUGGCGAUGGAGACGCCCGGACAGGAAGGGCUCAAUCCGGAUGAACCAGCCCGCACCGAGCCCGGCCGCCUCAACAAGAGCUCGUCUCUCUGCUUGCCUGCGGCUCACCGGAGCCGCCAUCGCCGGCGACCGCCUCCCUCACCUUGUGCCCCUUCUCCUUCGCCUUUCUUCCUCUCUUCCCCGAGGAGCGGGGAGCCGACGAAUCCGUCGGUCAGGAGCUGGGCGGCGCCCUCCAUCAUCGUGGCCGUUUGGGGAGGGACGCGGUCCUGGUCGAUGCGGUGUGGGGCGGGCGACGUAGGGCAAGAGGUGGCGGCGGGAUGGAGGUACAUGCGAUGGGGCACCGGCAAACAGAGGCGGGCGGCGGAGGUGCUGCAGGAGCGGCGCUCGACCGCGAGGUGAGGAGGAGGAGCAGAGGAAGGGGAGGCUGGAGGUGAUCCUCGCUGACGAUGGUGGGACUCAGGCAUGAGCAGGAGGAUGAGAGGAAACGGGACAGCGGCCUGCUGGUGGCUGUCGGCGACGCCGGGUGGCGAGGGGUUGUCGGAGCGGCGUCGUGGACGCCGGCGCCAAGCGGCGGCGAGUGGCCGUCGGUGGAGUCUUGGAAUGGAUAAGGAAUAUAAGGACUGACUGCAGACUGCGGGCUAAAUUCUAACUAAUGCAGGGGCUCUUUUGCAACAAUGAAACGUUUUUUUAGGAACUCACUUGAUAAAGGACUGCGGGUUGAAUUAAACAAAUAACAAGGGCUUUUUUGAAAAAAAUGGCAAUGACGGACGACCAAAAACUUAAUUUGCUUUAUUAUUAGGUAAAGACUAAAGUCUGCUUAGUACUGCCACAAUUACGUACUCGUUUGCAUCCAGUCUCCACUUAUUGGUGACUUCGAGACUAACUACUGCUACUUGGGUCAGACGCUAGUACUGGUUUAGCUAAGUACCUAGCACUACUACUUCACGUGGAGUACUUGCCCAAUUUUCUCUUCCCUCAAAUUGCUAUGUGCACUAAGAGGCGAUCAACAAGGAGGAGUCAAUACCUGCCGUUGUACUGUGUUUUGUAGAUUAUUAUUACACAUAAUAUUUUUUGUUGGACGGCAUUGCAUUAUUUUUGCAGAUGUAUCCUGCCGAUGCUCGUACGUGGCAUUUUUAUUGGAGCCAAUCCGGCCGGCUUCUUGCUAGUCAAAUCCUUGUCCGCAGCUUGGUGGACAUCAAAAUUCGAUUGUAACCGUAUCAUGUUGUCACCUCGCCCAGCCAAAUCAGGUGCUAUAGUUUCUGUUUAUUUCGUUUUACGCAGAUCAAUUCUUUUGCAAAAGUAUCGCUGCCGCUCUGUGCGAUAUUUUUCAUAGAUCGGAUUUACCCCGCGCGAAGAAGGAGAGCAGCGGUGGCAGGAGGCAUGGCCGCCGAACCCUGCACUGGCCCCUGGCUACCCGAUCGGGGCCAGCCCCGUACGCUGGAUGGGCGGCAGCAUAUGUAUCUGCUAUAAAACAAAAAUCCACCUGCGGUAGGUCGACCGAGGAGCUGGCGCAGUAGUUGUACUGCCCAUACAGUGCACAGGAGCUGACGAGACUUCAAAUCGCUCGCAACGCACAGGCUGAUUCGGUCCCCUUCUUUCUUUUGGCUAUUAUUUAAUUAGCAUGAGAUAGUCUAUGCUUUUUGCUAACCAUCUGUCUUCUGGGUACUUCCCGCAUGCAAGUACUAGUAUUAUCACUAGAGAUGCCUUUGUCCACGUAAUAGAAGGAACACACUUAGAUUGCUACAGUAAUCACCUGGAGAUAAAAAACCUCUGAGUAUGGGCAGUACUAAUCCUGCCUUUUUACCUCAGAUUUCAGCUCCUUACCUCAGAUUUCAGCUCCUCAGAACAAGAACAUCAGGUUUUAUUUUUCUAAUUACCUGUACUAUAUGUAUUAAAUAUGUAUGGAAUGUUUUUCUGCUGAAUUUUUUUGUGUAGAUUUCUCUGCCGGUUACAAUUCGGCCCGUUGAUCGCAUCAGCGUGGUGGUCCGUCCAGUUUUCGGCCACCCGGCUUCCUCCAUAGUUCGGCGGAUACCAUGUUCGCGCCCUGUCCUGUCAGAUGAAUUCGAACUAGGUCACGGGGUCACCACAUUGGGUCAACGUGUCGCUGGACCAACCUCGGACCUCAGGCCAUAUUUCUUUAAUUAUUUACGUUAUUUAAAUUCAUUAAGUAGAGGAUUUUUUUAAAAAAUAUUAUUAUCUCUGGCUUGCACUAUUUUAUCUGUCCAGGCAAUUGACUUAGACCGGGCCGCAUUGUCACCUUGGCGUGCUGAUGACCGCAACCUAAUUGUGUUAUCGCCUUGGCGCGCUGCCCUAUGUUGGCAACCCCGCGUCGCUGCUUCAUCAACCUACUCGGCCGGAGACUCCGGCAUCACCCCGCCGACCUGCUCCAUCACCUCGGCUAGAAUGGGGGAUUCACCUCUUCGGAGUGUCGAGCUCUUCGCUCGGGCACAUCGGGCUUGGGGGUUGAGACCUCCUCCCGCACCAAGCUCGGACCGCGUCAUCAAUGCCGAACACAUUAACCAGCUAAGUCGCUUUCAUGCUCAAAGUUUUAAAAUUUUAAAUUUUGUUCGGUCCGACCAAGCAUUAUACUUUUUUUAGCAAAAAGUUGUUUGUGAAAAAUUUCCUUGUCCAAACUUUGUUUGUGACAAACAAAUUCAAAUACCCCGUUUACUUGGGGGCUUCCUUUGUGAAGCCUUUCCUUUUGCAAACGAUUAUACUUGUACGGCUUCAUUCCUUGUUCGUGUAUUACGCCGCAAUAUGCACCAUGUUGACUUAAGCGAUUUGCAAGCUGGGUUGCCUUGCUCCUGUGUUUAUCCCUACGUUCCUGAUUGUUCGGCUAGGGAGUAAAGGGAGCACCUCUGCGAUUGUCACGAUCGGGUCAUCCAAGCCGGACCUCAGACUGGGUGAAGCCAAAAGCUCGCGCUCUUACUGUUUUCAAUAAUGGCCGGCACACAACGGAACUCAUGAGUACAAAAAAACUAUUGCACAAGUCUCAUAGCAGCAAUGAGCAACCGAAAAAAGGUAUCGGUGGGGUACUAUUUUCUUCGAAGAUGCUUCUUAUACUUCGUUAGUAAUCAAGCAUAAGUUCCCUGAGCGCGCUUUGUCUGUUACAGCCUUAUGGCCUGAUUGUCUGGUUAUCGGAAACACCAUCAAUAUUCUCGAUAGGUGGAGUACAUAACACUUUUUGGCCCUUGGCCGAAGAGGGAGAAGCCGACGGUCGGUUAAGACGCGUUUAAAGUUCGGGUGAACACAAAUAUGAUAUAAGUACUUCGGUACAUACAAUCAUUAUACAUAAAAUUCUUUUACCCAAGUCACUUGGGGGCUCUUAGAUUUAUGUGAGUUGUUUUAUAAUAAGUGUUCUUCUUCUUAGUCGUUGCAAAAUCUUUUUUCCAUCACUCCUUUUUUUGACGCGAGUGUGUGGUCAAUAGCCGGGGAGCCUAAUUUCUCUAUCAAAGCCGCUAAAGUUUGCUAAACUUGCCUAACGAGAAGCACUCCGCCUUCGGGAUAGGAGGUUAAAGCCAUAAGCUGACCCGCUUGAAGUCUUGAGAUAGAAUGUGUCAUGUUAAAGCACAACAGAAGCACAAUUUUUUUCUAAGACCAAUUUUCUGAUUGGCACUGAACAAUUGAUCUAGUUCGGACGUCGAGUUUUUCCUGACGUUUUUUUGGUCUUCCAAUCCUAUGGCACUUUUCAACUAUUUGUGUGUUUUCCGCAUAAGUCUCGCAGUGCAACGCCGGACACCUUUAAGGAUUCGGCAAAAAUUCUCGGAUAUUGUUAUAUGUGCAUCAGUUUUGAAUUGUGUCUUCGGUCAAUAGUUGGGUUGCCCGGCUCCUGUGCUUGCCUCCUAUGUUCUGCUUUGUUCGGCUAGGUGUGCAAAGGGAGAACCACUGUGAUUGUGCUUCCAGCUCGCAUGGUUAAGCACCGCAGUGGAGAAAGCCAAAAAUUGACUGUCACAAUAAGCGUAAACUGGUCAGCGGUCCGAUGACUGUAUUAAAUGAUGG